Pan troglodytes (chimpanzee) is the source of this 20854-nucleotide long non-coding RNA. RefSeq lists it as uncharacterized. The transcript has 3 exons. The record is from RefSeq and is a predicted model, not a curated record. Lineage: Eukaryota; Metazoa; Chordata; Mammalia; Primates; Hominidae.
AGAAGUGAAGUGAUGUUGACAAACCUGUACACUUAUUAAUAGUAAGUGGAGAGGUAAGAACUUUAAAGUCAAGUUUACUGACUUCGCAGCUGAGGACUAUUCACCAGUAGUACCACAUUUUGGACAGUGUGACAUGUUUGUUCUCAUCUCUUAUUUCAUUUUAUCUCACAGUGAUCUUUUAAGGCAGGUAGAAUAGUCUAGGGUAGUGGGAAUCGCAGGUACUAAUUCUGUGAGCCUGGGCAAAUUAAAUUAUUAGACCCCAGAUUUUUUGUCAGAAAAAAUAGGGAUAAUAAUACACACGGAGCAGGACUGUUAUAAGAAUUAAUUAAUAUAAUGCUUGUGAAGUGCCUGAACAUAGGUGCUCAGAAAAUGAAUUCAUUCCCUCUUCCUGUAGGACAAGAAAAAAAUUCCGCUUUGCACAUAACAUAAUUGCUGUGCCUUUUGCUUAACUGACUUACCCAACUCGCCAAGCUGGUGUCAGGGCAGUGACCAACCAAAAUUCAUGUCUUGUUAUUUCAAAUCUGCUUGUUAUUACUUUUACACACCUUAUAAUGCCUUCAAAUGUUCACUGCUAUUUUCAGUUCUUUCUCAAUUCUUUACAAAAUUCAUUUGCUUAAAUACCCAAAGGUAGAAUAAAAUACUUGAACUGAAAUCUUAGCGCUCUUUGCCCGAAGGUGAGAGACCACAGGUGUAAUGGAUGAGCAGGAUGUGGAGUCAGGAAGCCCGCGUUGGGCCCCCGGCAGUGGCAGUUACUAAGCUAUGUGAAUUUAGGCCAAUCCUCUGACUUAGCUCAUCUAUAAAUGUUAUUUCAAUCCGAACUUCCUGAGAGGAAGCCUAAAGUACAUAAUGUUUCUGAGAGAGAAGAAAAAGCUUGUAAAAUAAUCGACUUAGCUUACCCCAUGCUAGUACAUUGCUAGAAAGACACUGUCUCAUUUAACCUUUAUGGCAACUCUGUCGGAUAUUUUUCCCUGUUUUACAGAUGAGGAAAUGAAUAUUAAAAGAUUGUCAGAGAGUUAUAACAUUUAUAUUUGGUUAUUAUAUUUAUGGUUUGUUGGACUUAAUUUUCAAGUUUCUUGACUAAGUAGUUAAAUGGGGAAGAUGGGUGGGGUCUAUUUGGAUGCCUCCAAUUUAUACAGUUUUGUUUAUAAAUACAAAGUUUUAUAAUUGUCACAAUUUUCAUGAUUCCUAUAGGAAUGACCAAAAAUAUAGUUUCCAUAACAUCAGUGUUUCAAACUGAGCCAGCAAGGAUAAAGUUCCAUAACUUAGGAAAAUUUUACUUAGUGAAGGCAUUUAAGUGUCUGAAUUUCAGCUUCAGCCUAGGGGCCUAGGUAUUUUGCAAGUGGGUUGGUGCAGGUUCAGAAAGCCAAAAUGACUCAGCCAGGAAGGAAUAUAACAAGAUUUUAUGUCUGUGUGAAUGUGCUCUUUUUAUUCCUUCCUUCUUUCUCUGUCUCGUUUUCCCUAUUUAUCCGUUUAUAUAUUUAAUUUGCUAAGAUUUGAGUUUUUAAAAAGUCCUAUACUUUUACUGCUUUCUUGGAGCUUGUAGUGUAUUGGGGGAACAUUCUAGUGAGAAACCAUUACAGUACAGUGAGAUUACAGUGAGGCAGGUGCUACACUAAAGAUGAGGGCUAGCUUUAAUUUUGGCAAACCAAUUGAUUUGACAUUAUCAAUUUUGCUUAGAGGAUGGCGUCAAGGAGUCUUCACAGAUGAGGAGUCUCUUGAGCCGAUUUUUUUUGCCAGAUGCUUUUAAUUUUAAGUAACAGAAAAUUUAUGUGAACAAUAUAUAAAUUUAUAUAAACAAUAUAUAAAGAGGGGCUUUUAUUGUAGAGAUUCUGGGGUAUUAACAUCAAGAAUGGCAACAUGGCUGGACCUAAGGAAAGUCUGGGUCCAUUUAUUUGAACAUUAACAUUUGAUUUCUCUCCAUUUCUCAUCUCUGUUUCACUCAGUGCAGAUGGUCUCCUCUGUCUCUUGGUCACUUUGACAGGAGGUAUUGUCACUGACAAUUCUAAAGCUUUAUAUCUCAUAGCCUCAGAGACUAAAAGAGGCUGCUUCGAUGAACUGUCCACUUUUCAAAGUUCUAAGGCCAAAUUUCCUGGGGAAAGGAUUCACUGGGUCUCUCUGAGACCAAUCAGUCAGAAGUAGCGGUGGGGCAGGCUUACUUAGAAAUGGGCAGCUUCCACAGGAGCUUCAUCAAAGGAGUGGAAAGGUGGCAACUCCUCAAAGAGGGGACGAUUAGACUCACAGACAAGUGGUUCUCAAGGUAUAGUCCCUGAGCCCCUGAAGAUCUCAAGGCCAUUUUAGGGGGUUCAUGAGGUCAAAACACUUUUCUUAAUAAACCUAAGCUAUUAUUUUCUUUUUUUUCACUCUGUUACCAUUUGUAUUGAUGGUGCAAAAACAAUGGUAAGUAAAACUACAGGUGCCAGAGCAUGAUAAGCAGUACCAAAUUAUGUAAGUAGUCAUUGUAUUCUUUAAUACUGUGUACUCACAGUAAACAAUGCCAGUUCUCUUUAAGAAUUCUCUCGAAUAAUCAGUAAAAAAUAUUACUUUUAUUAAAUAUCAACCCUGUAUAACACCUUUUUAACAUCUGUGGGGCAAAGUAGUUGUGCCAUGAAGGUUUUUUGCUCAUACUAAAGUACAAAGGCUGCCUUGAAGAAAAGUAGUUGUGUAAUUUAGUUGCAAGCUGAACUAGCUGCCUUUUUUCACAGAAAAAUCUUUUUAUUUGGAAGAAUGACAUAGAAAAACUAUGGCUGUUCAGAUCUGGGUGUUAGGCAGACAUAUUCCUAAAGAAAGUAUAUUAAUUUAAGGAAAACAACUAACACUAUUUGUUGGCCAUGAUAAAAUUUGAGCUUUCACACAAAAAUCAUAAUUUUGGAAUCUGCCACUGGGAAUUUGAUGGUUUCCUAAUACUUAAAGCCUUUACUGAAAAGAUUUGUGGUGACAGUGAAAAAUGUAAUUUUUUUGAUAUUGUGUGGUCAAUGUAUCAAUUUUUGGAUAAUCUACAUGGCUCAGUAAAUGGGUGUUUUUCAAAUGACCCACACAUGAUGCUAUAGAGAUCACACAUAAAAGGCUCAUUUAAGGUUGACCAAUGGGUUUUAAUGUAACACAAUACAAAAAGUUCAUCAGUAUAGUUUCAGACUCCAUAUUGCAGCUAAUAAGAGGUUAUCACUUGUUGAAUUUUUGUGCAGAUUGAAUUAAUACCCACAAAUUAUUCCAAAUUUUCUUCAUAUACUUCAACCAAACCAACAUAGCAAUACAGAUUGAAUGUAGAUGCAGAUAUCAAAAUCUGUAUCCUAUGAAACCAAACGUUAGAGAAAUUUGCAAAAAUGUAAAGCAAUGCCAGUUUUUCAUGAAUUUUUGAAAACAUAUUUUUAAAUGAAAAAUUUUUAUAUAUUUUAGCACAUAUUACUGUUAUUUGAAAAUGAAUUUCAUGUAAAUAGUAAAAAUUGUUCUCAUUUUAAAUUUCUACACGGUAAAUAUUAAUAGAUAUAAAUAACAUGAGCAAGUCAUCUUGCAGUCCCCAAUAAUAUUUAAGAGUAGACUCUGACUCUGAGACCAAAACAUUUGAGAACUCCUGCCUUAGAUACCCUCCACAGUCUUUAAAUAUGAACAAAGGCAAGCCAGGUGGGUAAGAGAUGGAAGAGCAUUCCAGUGAAAAGACAGGAGGCAUGAGGCAGUGUGACUUCAGGAGUUUAAGAAGAGAUGCAAACGGGAAAUGGAGUAUAUGGAGUAGAUUAUGGGGAGAUAAAGUUGAAACAAAAAAAUUCAGUGCCAGGUUAUCUGGAGCCAUACAAAGGUUUUAAGUAAGAAAUGAUGUAAUUGGCUUUGGGUUUGGACAUGGCAUUUUGUUGUCAGUGUGGAAGACAGGUAGGCAAUGUGGGUGGAGUGAGGGCUGGAUAAAACUAGAGACAGGGAAACAAGUGAGGAGGCUUCUGUCAAUAGGCACAGAAAAGAAGAGAGACUGAAUUAAGGCAAUGGUGGUAGGGAUGAAAAGGAAGAUGCACGUUGUGCAGAAUUUUAGGAAACAAUUGAAAAUAAUGCCAUCUGGAUGGAGGCUAUACAGAGUAGAUUUAAUAGCUGGACCCCUGUAGGAAGUGAGCGAUUAUAGUAGUUACUAUCUCUGGGAUUCUUUAUUUUAAUAAAUUAAUAAUUACUUUAAGAGAGUCAAGUCUAACUCUAAGUCCCAGGCUCCCAAAGUUUACGUUUGCAAAGUGGCUAUAUUACUUAAGACUAGGUUUAGCUGUGUAUAAUAUUCAUAGGAAAUACCAAACAAUCAAUAGUGACUCAAACAAGAGAGGAGUUUGCCCCUCAUGCAAAAGAUGUUCAGGGCCAUUUUCUGCUUUACCACCAUCAGUAUAUUGCUUUCAUUCUCAAGGUCACCUCAUUGUCCAAGAUGGCAGUUGGAACAUUACAUCAUUGUUCCAGGCUGGCAACAGGAAGGAGGAGGAUAGGACAAAAGGGCCCAGUUUCCAGUCAAGUCGGUUUCCUUUAGCAGCUUUUCUGCUAUUUCUACCACUUUUCAUUACUUAGAUCUUUUUCAUUUUACCACAGUCAGGUGCAAGGAGGAUAGGAAACGCAGUCUUUUAGCUAGGUUCAUUGCUGUCUCAAAUAAUUUAGGCUUCUAUUACAAUGAGAGAAGGGGGAAAUGUUUAUGAGAUUGUAUUCAGCAGCCUCUGCCCCAGAGAUCUAGAGUUCUCUUUCCUCUCCCCAGAAAUGUCUUUAUCUAGAAUUACUUGUCUUUUCCUUUUACCAUGGGAAUUCCUGGGAAUGACAAGGACACCUACUUUUUUAUUUGGAAGGCUCUUACCUGGCAACUUGAAAGUUCCAUAACACAGUCUGAGAACUGAGAAUAAAUAAAUCCCUGGGACGUCUCAUUUCUUCUUUUUCUGAGCUACUAUAAUCAUCUUUUUAAUUGCUUGUCCCAUUUAUUUGCAUUUUUUUUUACUGCAAUUCAACCUACACAGUGUGGCAGGAUUAAUUUUUCUGAAGUAAAUUUCAAGUCAUGUUAUUUCAUUUGUCAAGAAUCUUAAUUAAUUUCCCAUAGCCUCCUGAACAUUCACAAAUGCCCACAAAGCAUUCAAAGUCCUCUUGCAAUUUUACCAAAAGCGACAUUUCCAGGCAUACCUCCCAUACGAUAUGCUUUAGCUAAAUGGGGCCUAACAAAAUAUGGAAAACCUAACCUCUGUGGUUUUGCUCAAGUUACUAUAGCUUUUACGAAUUCUAGCUCUGCAAUUGCAUAGGACUGUAAAAAUUACGGAGGACUUCUUGAAUUCCAGUUUCCUCUCAACACCAUUUAUUGACGAGACAUGCCAAGAUCCCACUCUGUGACCACAGAUACAUUCUAAAUGUUAUGCUUCAAGAGCACAUUUUUCUUAGCCAGAGCAAUUAGGUAAUAAAAAUAAAUAAAAGGCAUUUAAAUAAAAAAGGAAGAAGUUAAAUGGUCUUUGCCGGCAACAUGAUCUUAUAUAUAGAAAACCCUUAUAUAUAGAAAACCCUCCACCAAAAAAACCUGAUAAAACUAAUAAACAAAUUCAGUAAAGUUGUAGGACACAAAAUCAACAUACAAAACCGGUAGCAUUCCUGUACACUAAAAACGAAGCAUCUUAAAAAGAAAUUAAGAAAAUAAUCCCAUUUAUAAUAGCAUCAAAAUAUACCUAUAAAUAAAUUUAACUAAGGAGGUUAAAGGUCUAUAUACUAAAAGCUAUAAAAUGAAUGAUGAUGAAUGAAAUUGAAGAAGAUACAAAUAAAUGGAAGGAUAUCUUAUGUUUAUGGAUUGGAAGAAUUAAUAUUGUUAAAAUGUCCAUACUAUCCAAAGCAAUCUAUAGAUUCAAUGCAAUCUCUAUCAAAAUUCCAAUUAAAAAAAUCCAAUGAUAUUUUUAACAGAAAUAGAAAAAAAACCAAUCCUAAAAUUUGCAUGGUACCAUAAAAAUCCUCUACUAGCCAAAGCCAUCUUGAGCAAAAACAACAAAUCUGGAGGCCAUCAUACUACCUGAUUUCAAAAUAUGUUACAAAGCUACAGUGAGCAAAACAGCAUGAUACUGGCAUAAAACCAGACAUAGCAACAAAUGAAACAGAAUAAGGAGCCCAGAAGUAAACCCACAUGUAUAUAGUCAUGAUUUUUUACAAAGGUGUUAUAAUGUAUUAUUUCCCCAAGAACAUGUAAUGGGGAAAAGUUAGUCUCUUCAAUAAACGCUGAUGGGAAAACAGGAUAUCCACUUGCAGAAGAAUGAAAUUGGACCCUUUUCUUAUACCAUAUGCAAAAAUAAACUCACAAUUGAUUAAAGACUUGAAUGGAAGACCUGAAACUGUAACACUACUAAAAGAAAACAUAAGGGAAAACCUUCAUUCCUUUGGUCUGGGCAAGGGCUUUUCAAUAUCACCCCAAGAGCAAAGGCAGCAAAAGCAAAAAUAGACAAAGAGGAUUGCACCAAAAACAAAGCAUCUACACAGAAAAGAAAACAAUUAACGCAGUGAAGAGACAACCUAUGAAUUAGAAGAAAAUAUUUGCAAACCUGGCCGGAAGCAGUGGCUCAUGUCUGUAACCCCAGCACUUUGGGAGGCCAAAGCAGGUAAAUUGCUUGAGUUCAGGAGUUUGAGACCAGCCUGGGAAACAUGGCAAAACCCCAUUUCUACAAAAAAUACAAAAAUUAACAGGGCUUGAUGGCACACACCUGUAGUCUUAGGUACUUGGGGGGCGGAGGCAGGAGGAUUGUUUGAGUUCAGGAGGUGGAGGUUGCAAUGAGCCAAGAUCGUGCCACAGCACUCCAGCCUGGGUGACAGUGCCAGAACCUGUCUCAAAAAAAAAAAAAAAAAAAAAUUGCAAAUCAUACGUUUGAUAAUGGGUUAAUAUCCAAAAUAUAUAAGGGAUUCAACAAAUUGACAAUAAAACAAAUAACCAGAUCAAAGUUUAAAAAUGGGCACAUGAUCUGAAUAGACAUUUCUCAAAAGAAGACAUACAAAAGGCCAGUGGGUAUAUGAAAAAAUGCUGAACAUCACUAAUUAUCAGGGAAAUGCAAAUCAAAACCACAAUGAAACAUCAUCUCACACCUGUUAGGAUAAUUAUUAUAAAAAAGAUGAAAGAUAACAAGUAUUGGUAAGGAUGUGGAGAAAAAGGAACCUUCCACAUUGUCGGUGGAAAUGUAAAUUAGUACAACCAUUAAGGAAAACAGUAUGGAGGUUCCUCAAACAAUUGAAAAUAGAGUUAGCAUAUGAUCCAGCAAGCCCACUUUUGGGCUUCCAGUGGAAAUUAAAUUAGUAUCCCAAAGAGAUAACUUCAUGUCCAUGUUCAUUGCAGCAUGAUUCACGAUAGCCAAGAUCAGUGUCCAUCCACAGAUUAAUACAUUAAAAAAGUGGUAUAUAUGCAAAAUAGAAUACUGUUCAGCCUUAAAAAAGAAGAUAUUCUGUCAUUUGCAACAACAUGAAUGAACCUGGAGAAAAUUAUGCUAUGUGAAAUAAGCCAGGCACAGAAACACAAAUACUGCAUGGUCUUACUUAUAUGUGAAAUCUAAAAAAAUCAAACUCAGAAGCAGAAAGUAGAAUGGUGGUUACCAGCAGAUGGGGACUCAGGGGAAUGGGGAGGUGCUUGUCAAAGGAUACAAAGUUUCCAUUAGAUAGGGGGAAUAAGUUUUGGAGAUCUAACGUACAGCGUGGUGGCUAUAGUUAAUGAUAACGUAUAUUCGAAAAUUGCUGAGAGUAGAUUUUAAAUGUUCUCCCCCAAAAAUUAAGUGUGUGAGAGGAUAGACAUAUUAAUUAGCUUGAUAUAGUCAUUUCACAAUGUGUACAAAACAUCACACUAUACCCUCAAAAAUAUAAAUAAUCAUUAUUUUAUGUUAAUUAAAAUGUUAAGAAAAAAGAAAAAGAAAAGAUCAUCUUCCUUUAACCCAUGCUAAACCACCGCUGAUAGUCUCAGGGAAGAACAUAUUGCUUAGAAGUGCAAGAGUCUGGCCAUGUGCGUAAGUGCUGCUCCCACAUCUCUGACAUAGAAUCCUACAUUGUGUCCCUAACCUGAACCCUGAAGUUACUAAGUGGACAGGAUUUGUUGUUGCUGUUCACUAUUAUCCUUGGCUCCCUUUCUGACUCUACUCAACAACCCAAAUAUUGUUUUGCUUUAAAAGUAGACAUUGCCGCAUUGUCUGCACACGCACCUUUUUCUUUUAUCUAAGAUAUAUUAUUAAACUUACAAACUAACCAUUAACAGAAAUUAAAGCCCUGGGAAAAUUAUCAAGUGCCAAGGACUUAUUAAUAAGUAAAGCUUUGUUUUCACAUUGGCAAACUGAUAAUCCCCUGUGCUCCGGUCUCUUGAAAGUUGUCAUGGUAUGCAGUCCCUAAAGGGAAUCCUGCCUGCUGUACUCCUACCUGCUGUUUUUGGAAAUGUGUUGUGGGGACACAGACGGGUAGAAUGAGGACAUCUGAAAUCUGUUCUCUACUUUUACCCAAGAUCCACGAUAAGGUAUAAUAUAAAUUGUUCUGGCAGUCGAUUCAGAGAAAAUUCCCCUGUGUGUACUAUGAAAUUUGUAGGACACUCAGCAAGGCUUUUAAUAUUUUGAGCCUGAAUUUCCUCAUCAAUAUUUGGAAAUUGGCACCUGUAGAACAAUUCACUUUUCACCCUGCCAAUAGCCAUUUAAGAAAGUAGGGCACUUCUUGUUAAUAUCACCAUUUAAAAGGCUCAGACUUGUUAAAUAAUUUAUUUAAUAUUGUUUUCUAACUUAGGGUAAGUAAAUGUCCAUUCUGAGAUUAAAUUCUACCUCCACUGGUUUCAGUUUUAUCACCUAUAGAACAUAUUAUAAUGUUAUAUUACAAGACAAUUUUGGGUACUAAAUGAGACAAAAUAUGUGGAAAUUUCUGGUGCCUGGUAAGUGCUCACUAGGACUGGUUUUGAGAAAUGCAGCUAAAUUAAAAUGGAGGUCUUGCAAAUGACUAGCUUCAAAGCUCUGUUAUGGAGACAUGUAUUAUUUCUCAGACAUUUUCUGAGACUACCUACCAUCUGCCCUGUUAUGUGCUGUGUACUGGGGUUACAAAGAUUAAUAAGCCAUGACUCCUGCUAUUAAUGGAGUACAUGAGUUAAUGUAUAGAACAGUGCUUGGCACAGAGUAGGACCCAAUAAAAGUAAGUUUUGCUAUAAUAAUAAUAAUAAUUUCAUAUUGUUGUUCUUGUUGUUAUAUCUGCCUUUUCCAUGGUCCCCCAGAAAAUAGCAUCUGGGCCAAGAUUAACUGCUGAUGCUCUAUCUGGGAGCUGUAAAGAUAGGGCAAUAAAAAUGGGGGAAAAGAAAUUGAGUCAGGGAAGUAUAGGAAGCAGUGCAGUGUGAUGUACUCAGCAAAUAGCUUGUUGGAGGUGCGUGUUUGGCCUUGCAGAAUGCCUUUGGAGAGGCUGUAAAGAGAAAGCACACCACAGAACAGUACUUGAGAAGACGAAGGAAGAGGGAGUUUAUCUGUUUGGCUCUCUCCAAUCUUUUCGUUUUCCCUACUAUUCAAACUUUGCCCCCAAAGAUAUCAAUUCCUCUGCGCUUUCCAGGUACAUUAUUUGGCUUCCUGAGUGGCUUUUGGGAAACUAGCUCCUGAAUUCUGUGGUAGGGUGUUUGAUCUAAGGGCAGAAAUGGCUGGAGAGACAGAAACACUGGACACAUGGCUGGUCAGCCUGGUUGUGUGGUGUCUGUUAUAAAAGAGAGUCCAGCUUUCCUGAGCAAGUAUGUGUUUAGCUUCAUUUGGUAGAACCACACUGACCUGUACUAAGUGUGUCAAUACAACAAUGCCAAUGCAAAACAAAUAUCCAAAGGCCUCUGAGAUGGGUGAAGCCCAUCUAAAGCUGACCCAAGAUGUCGCAUCUGUUCCCCUCCAGGGCCAUUCCAAACCCCCCUUGCCCUCUUAUUUCUGGCUCUUGUACUACAAUAUGGGGUCUCCCCCGAGUAUUUUUUUUUUUUGGUGUUCUUAUUCCUUCCCAAAGAGGGAAGAACAGGUCCAAUCACUGGUAGAAUCCUCCUCUAGAUUGUUUGUCAUUUGUUGUCUGCAAGACUUAAGCCACGAAGGUUACAGAAACAAAGUAUAGUUUCUGCUGCUGAAACUGAUGCUGAGGCCGUGAAUGACAUUUAUUAUCUCCAUCCUUUAUCAUUUUAGAUUUCCCUCACCAUUGGCCAAUAUUUCAGUUAGUCCAGUUAGUUGCCUGUUGGGAUAAGACAGACCCUCAUUCCUGAUGGAAAUAAGCCCUUACUUGCCCAACUCUGGUUGGGUUUGUGGUUACUGUCAUUGCCCAUUGAUGAUUAUUAGUUAGCAUGGAAAUAUUAAAAGACCCUUCAGUGAAUUGCCUGAGUUCCACAUAUAAUCUUCCCUGCUGCGUUUAUGACAUAGUAACUUCUUUCUUUGCCUACAGUUCCACUGAAAAGAUGUGCUUAAAGUAGGCACGUCAUAAUUACAGUGUUUCCAGUUUAGUGGAACCAUUAUUUAAUUCUCUGGUGGAUGUGUACCCUAUACUCAAGAACAAAGUUGUGGGAGAAGGAAGCACAAUCUUGCAAGUAGGUCCCUGGAUGUGAGAGUGGGCAUACUUACUUUCACCCCUUGAUACCUGACCCAUACACUGUAGCUAUUGUAGAUUCAGUGCCAUGUAUAGUUUUUUUUUUGAUUCAGUACAUAUUCCAUAUUCUGGAAGUUGGGAAGCAAGGCAAGGUGAUGUGUUACUCAUCAUCGGUUGCUUCACAAACACCAUAAAUAUUGACCUCAGAUCUCUCAGCAGUUGGGUCCACUUGGCCCCAUGAAACAUUUCUCAGCAGGAUGUACAAAGAGCCCAGGUUUCAGAGCACUCCCAGAGAGGACAGAAGGAGAGACAUUUUACUUGCUUGAUUCCUUUCUUUAUCUCACUGGUUAAAGUUCACCUUCUUGGGAGUUAAUUUAUGCACAUUUCUAGGUUGUGUCAUUUAGUUCUUUAAUAUAUCGUUAUUGGCAGUUAGCAUUAUAAGUACUGCUAUUAUCAUCCAUAAUUAUCAGUCUGUCUAUGCCAGGAGAGAGAGGUGCAUAACUUUACAUUUGUAUCUGUAUCUAUAUCUCUAUGUAUCAUGGUAAAUAAGUGACAAAUAUAUGUACUGUGAAUGUUGUUGCUCUGAGCAGGAAGAUUUAAUCAUGUUGGGGAUCUGAGGCAUUAGCUAAGAUAUGGAGAAAGGGAUUGCUUGGAAAGUGAAUUCCAGGCACAGGAAUAGCAUGAACAAAGACCCUGAGGCAAGAUAUACUGAGAAAUGUGCAGGAAGGCAGGGUUUUCCAGUUAAGUAGGAGCAACGUCAUAUAGGAUCCUAAAUUUCUAUUGAGAACCUUGAAACCAUUCAAACAUUGGCAAGUUGCUCAUUGUUAUCCUUCCUGUGCUUCAAAUUCCUCAUUCACAUCAUAGGAAUAAUAAUGAUGCCUACCCAACUUUUUUAUUGCUAGCCAUGGAGCAAGCAAGCAUUCAUUAAAAGUUAUACAUUAUUAGGCAUCAGGAAGUCAUGAAGUAUUCUCAGUGGCAGAGUGACAUGGUCAGAUUUAUGCCAUUGGUGUAGAGAAUGGAUUGGAGGGCAUGAGGGUCAGAUGCAGAGAGACUAGUUAUUUGUUGAUAUAAUAUUGUAAUAGCCCCAGGGGGUGAUGGUGACCUAAACUAGUCCACAAUCAGUGGGAAAGUAGAGGAACUAUUCAGAUGGCAAAAGGUACAGGACUUGAUAGGUAAUUGAUUGAAACUAGUGAAUGAGGGGGAGGGCGGACUCAAAGAUCACACCCAGGUUUUGACUUGGGUGACUUGGUGACUAUAAUGAAAUAAAGUAAGAGAAAUACAAAAGGAAUAGAGAACAGAGAGUGUUCAGAAGGAGGGCAUCAUCAACAGUGCUGAACUGGAAAGGGCCAGUAAGCAAGGACUGAAAUGCCUCCAUUGUGUUUGUAUUCAUGAUCUUUGUGAUAGCACUUCCCAGAAGUCAUCAUUAUUAUUAUCCCUUCUUUACGGAAGAAAACACUGAGGCUCAGAGUUGUUUUGUGAGCCCAUAAGGUCAAACCGCUGGUUGGGUGCAGCAUUCAGUGUGGGUAUUCAUAGAUUGAAAGUAACAACAACAGCAACAACAGCAAGAACAACACUCUUAUUGAGUGUCCACUGUGGGACAGGCCCUGUACUAGGUGCUGGGAAGCCAAGAAAAGUACAACAGCUCCUGCCUUCAAGGAGACCACUGUUUUGGAAGCCACAUAAGAAAAAUACAUUUAAAUUUAUCACAGAGCUGUGGACAGAGUAAGGGGGCAGGCGGCACAAAGAAGUUUUGUGCUUGUGCUGGGGACAUGGAAAAGAUUUUGAAGUGGUGCAGUUGUUUUAGCUGACUCUUGGAAGAGGAGUAGGGAUUUUCCAGGUCAAUAGCCAGUGUGAGUUAGGGCAAAGGGCAAGGAGACAAGUAGGAAUUUCAGGUUAGGGAACAGCAAGUGCAGAGGCAGGAGGAUGAGAAACAGCCUGGCAUCCCCAGGAAACCCAAGCACUUCAGUAUGGCUAGAGGUAGGCUGGGGCUGCUUAGUGGGUGUUUGAAAAGCCACAUUAAGAAUUUUGACCUUGUCUUGCAGACCAGAGGCUCUUAAUGGGUAAGUUUCAGAAGGUCCGUGAAGUCCCUGAAAUCUUACUCAUAAUUCUCUAUAGAUCCCAGUUGACUCAGAAGUUGAGGGAGGGACUUCAAGAAGAAGGUAGUGAGUGGUUAUCAAUGUCAAAUUUGAAAACAGAUAUACAUCUUAUUCUUCUCAGGAGUUAAUUGUAUUUUAUAGACAAAACUCUAUGCAGUCUUCAGAUUGUUGAACACUUCCUACUCUGCCAGGCAGUCAGUGUGGGUCCUCUGAGAAUCAGACAAUUAGAUGUGCAAGAGAUUUAUUGCGGGAAAUGCUAACGAAAGGUAAAAAGGGAGGAAGCAAAAGGCAGGAGAAACAUUUAGACUGUGAGUCAGAUACAACUACUAUGAAGGGAGAGGAAGAAAGAUUGGGCAGGAAGAGCCUCAGGCAGGAAGAGCCUCAGACAGGGCACAUCUUUGAGUGGGAUUUCGCUAGGCUGAUUGGGAGUUGCCACGCAAAAGUUGCCCAUUAGAAAAGUCCUGUUUGGGAGCAUUAAAGACCUGAAUCUCAUAUCUCUCCUACCAUGCUCAGUCAGUGGCUAAGAGCAGCUUAGAGGAAGUAUGGCAUCACAGCCAAAUCAAUAUCACAUCAAAUUCCAAAGUGUGGCAACAGUAGGCUGCCAGUCAAAUACACUCCCCACAGCAGGUUCUUUAAAAGGGAGGUUUGACUCCGCUACACAAUAUUUCAGAUUGACAAAAAACUAAUGCGACAGAGUAUCGAUUGGUUACUGAAUGUUGUUGCUCUGAGCAGGGAAAGUUAAUCCUGUUGGGGAUCCAAGGCGUUAGCUAAGAUAUGGAGAAAGGGAUUGCUUGGAAAGUGAAUUCCAGACACAGGAAUAGCAUGAACAAAGAUCAUGAGACAAGAUAUACUGGGAAAUGUGCAGGAAGGCAGGGUUUUCCAGUUAUGUAAGAGCAACAUCAUAUAGGAUCCUAAAUUUCUAUUGAAAACCUUGAAACCAUUCAAAUACUGGCAAGUUGCUCAUUAAAUUGAAGCACAAAUUAUGUGCCAGAAUUAUGAAUAGAGUCUGCACUGAGGACAAAGAUCCCAGUUCCCCACGUUUUUUUUUUCUUUUUAUUAUACUUUAAGUUCUGGGAUACAUGUGCAGAAUGUGCAGAUUUGUUACAUAGGUAUACACAUGCCAUGGUGGUUUGCUGCACCCAUCAACCCAUCUACGUUAGGUAUUUCUCCGAAUGCUAUCCCCUACUAGCUCCCCACUCCCUGACAGGCCCCAGUGUGUGAUGUUCCCCUCCCUGUGUCCAUGUGUUCUCAUUGUUCAACUCCCACUUAUGAUGAGAACAUGUGGUGUUUGGUUUUCUGUUCUUGUGUUAGUUUGCUGAGAAUGAUGGUUUCCAGCUUCAUCCAAGUCCCUGCAAGGGACAUGAACUCAUCCUUUUUUAUGGCUGCAUAGUAUUCCAUGGUGUAUAUGUGCCACAUUUUCUUUAUCCAGUCUAUCAUUGUUGAUGGGCAUUUCGAUUGGUUUCAAGUCUUUGCUAUUGUGAACAGUGCUGCAAUAAACUUAUGUGUGUGAAGUAUCUAUAUAGUAGAAUGAUUUAUAAUCCUUUGGGUAUGUAUCCAGUAAUGGGAUUGCUGGGUCAAAUGGUAUUUCUUGUUCUAGAUCCUUGAGGAAUUACCACACUGUCUUCCACAAUGAUUGAACUAAUUUACACUCCCAUCAACAGUGUAAAAGCGUUCCUAUUUCUCCACAUCCUUUCCAGCAUCUGUUGUUUCCUGACUUUUUAAUGAUCACCAUUCUAACUGUGUGAGAUGGUAUCUCAUCGUGGUUUUGAUUUGCAUUUCUCUAAUGACCAGUGAUGUUGAGCUUUUUUUCAUGUUUGCUGGCUGCAUAAAUGUCUUCUUUUGAGAAGUGUCUGUUCAUAUUCUUUGCCCACUUUUUGAUGGGGUUGUUUGUUUUUUUCUAGUAAAUUUGUUUAAGUUCUUUGUAGAUUCUGGAUAUUAGCCCUUUGUCAGAUGGAUAGAUUACAAAAAUUUUCACCCAUUCUGUAGGUUCCCUGUUCACUCUGAUGAUGGUUUCUUUUGCUGUGCAGAAGCUCUUUCCUUUAAUCAGAUCCCAUCUGUCAAUUUUGGCUUUUGUUGCCAUUGCUUUUGGUGUUUUAGUCAUGAAGUGUUUGCCCAUGCCUAUGCUCUGAAUGGUACUGCUUAGGUUUCUUCUAGGGUUUUUAUGGUUUUAGGUCUUAUGUUUAAAUAUUUAAUCCAUCAUGAGUGAAUUUUUGUAUAAGGUGUAAGGAAGGGGUCCAGUUUCAGUUUUCUUUAUUAGUCUGGCUAGAGGUCUAUCUAUUUUGUUGAUCUUUUCAAACAACCAGCUCCUGGAUUCAUUGAUUUUUUUGAAAGGUUUUUCAUGUCUCUCUCUCCUUCAGUUCUGCUCUGAUCUUAGUUAUUUCUUGUCUUCUGCUAGCUUUUGAAUUUUGAAAUCUUCUGCCAGUUUUUCCAACACCAUUUAUUAAAUAGGGAAUCCUUUCUCCGUUGCUUGUUUUUGUCAAGUUUUUCAAAGAUCAGGUGGUGGUAAAUGUGCGGCAUUAUUUCUGAGACCUCUGUUCGGUUCCAUUGGUCUAUGUAUCUGUUUUGGUACCAGUACCAUGCUGUUUUGGUUACUGUAGCCUUGUAGUACAGUUUGAAGUCAGGUAGUGUGAUGCCUCCAGCUUUGUUGUUUUUGCUUAGGAUUGUCUUGGCUAUAUGGGCUCUUUUUUGCUUCCAUAUGAAAUUUAAAGUAGUUUUUUCUAACUCUGAAGAAAGUCAGUGGUAGCUUGAUUGGGAUAGCAUUGAAUCUAUAAAUUACUUUGGGAAGUAUGGCCAUUUUCAUGAUAUUGAUUCUUCCUAUCCAUGAGCAUGGAAUGUUUUGCCAUUUGUUUGCGUCCUCUCUUAUUUUCUUAAGCAGUGGUUUGUAGUCCUCCUUGAAGAGGUCCUUCACAUCCCUUGUAAGUUGUAUUCCUAGGCAUUUUAUUCUUUUUAUAGCAAUUGUGAAUGGGAGUUCACUCAUGAUUUGGCUCUCUGUCUAUUAUUGGUGUAUUUGAAUUCUUGUGAUUUUUGCACAUUGAUUUUGUAUCCUAAGAUUUUGCUGAAGUUGCUUAUCAGCUUAAGGAGAUUUUGGGCUGAGAUGAUGGGGUUUUCUAAAUAUACAAUCAUGUCAUCUGCAAACAGAGACAAUUUUACUUCCUCUCUUCCUAUUUGAAUACCCUUUAUUUCUUUCUCUUGCCUAAUUGCCCUGGCCAGAACUUCCAAUACUAUGUUGAAUAGGAGUGGUGAGAGAGGGCAUCCCUGUCUUGUGCUGGUUUUCAAAGGGAAUGCUUCCAGCUUUUGCCCAUUCAGUAUGAUAUUGGCUGUGGGUUUGUCAUAAAUAGCUCUUAUUAUUUUGAGAUAUGUUCCAUCAAUACCUAGUUUAUUGAAAGUUUUUAGCAUGAAGGGGUGUUGAAUUUUAUCAAAGGCCUUUUCUGCAUCUAUUGAGAUAAUCGUGUGGCUUUUGUCAUUGGUUCUGUUUAUGUGAUGGAUUACAUUUAUUGAUUUGCGUAUGUUGAACCAGCCUUGCAUCCCAGGGAUAAAGCCGACUUGAUCAUGGUGGAUAAGCUUUUUGAUGUGGUGCUAGAUUUGGUUUGCCAGUAUUUUAUUGAGAAUUUUUGCAUUGAUGUUCAUCAGGGAUAUUGGCCUGAAAUUUUCUUUUUUUGUUGUGUCUCUCUCAGGUUUUGGUAUCAGGAUGAUGCAUGCCUCAUAAAAUGAGUUUUUCUAUUGUUUGAAAUAGUUUCAGAAGGAAUGGUACCAGCUGCUCUUUCUACCUCUGGUAGAAUUCUGCUGUGAAUCUGUCUGGUCCUAGAAUUUUUUUGGUUGGUAGGCUAUUAAUUACUGCCUCAAUUUUAGAACUUGUUAUUGGUCUAUUCAGGGAUUUGACUUCUUCCUGGUUUAGUCUUGGGAGGGUGUAUGUGUUCAGGAAUUUAUCCAUUUCUUCUAGAUUUUCUAGUUUAUUUGCAUAGAGGUGUUUAUAGUAUUCUCUAAUGGUAGCUUGUAUUUCUGUGGGAUCAGUGGCAAUAUCCCCUUUAUCAUUUUCUAUUGUGUCUAUUUGAUUCUUCUCUCUUGUCUUCUUUAUUAGUCUGGCUAGAGGUCUAUCUAUUUCGUUGAUAUUUUCAAACAAACAGCUCCUGGAUUCAUUGAUUUUUUUGAAAGGUUUUUCAUGUCUCUAUCUCUUUCAGUUCUGCUCUGAUCUUAGUUAUUUGUUGUCUUCUGUUAGCUUUUGAAUUUGUUUGCUCUUGCUUCUCUAGUCCUUUUCAUUGUGAUGUUAAUGUGUCAAUUUUAGACCUUUCCUCUUUCUCCUGUGGGCAUUUAGUGCUAUAAAUUUCCCUCCAAACACUGCUUUAGCUGUGUUCCCGAGAUUCUGGUACCUUGUGUCUUUGUUCUCAUUGGUUUCAAGUAACUUGUUUAUUUCUGCCUAAAUUUCGUUAUUUACCUAGUAGUCAUUCAGGAGCAGGUUGUUCAGUUUCCAUGUAGUUGUGUGGUUUUGAGUGAGUUUCUUAAUCCUGAGUUCUAAUUUUAUUGCACUGUGGUCUGAGAGACUGUUUGUUAUGAUUUCUGUUCUUUUGCAUUUGCUGAGGAGUGUUUUACUUCCAAUUAUGUUGUCAGUUUUAGAAUAAGUGCAAUGUGGUGCUGAGAAGAAUGUAUAUUCUGUUGAUUUGAAAUGAAGAGUUCUGUAGAUGUCUCUUAGGUCUGCUUGGUCCAGAGCUGAGUUGAAUUCCUGAAUAUCCUUGUUAAUUUUCUGUCUCGUUGAUCCAUCUAAUACUGACAAUGGGGUUUAUGUACUGCUAAGAGAGGGGAAAAUGCUUACAAUAAAACCAUGACAUAUCAUUUAUUGAAAACCACAUUGCUAUUUCAGAAAUGUUGAUGCCUGAAAGAACAUAUAUUAGAAUUUAUGAAAUAUGGUGAUGAGUUUUCCAGAAACAUUAUCUAAUAAAUUAUUAUAAUUAUACUUGUAAUUGUUGUAAUUAUUUGUAGACAUCACCAGGAGAAGAUAAACAGACAAAAUCAGGGUGUAUUAAUCCAUUUGGGCUGCCAUAACAAACUACCACAGAUGGGGUGGCUUAUAAACAACAGAUAAAUUUCUCACAUUUCUGGAGGCUGGGAUGUCCUAGGUUAAAGCACCAGCAGAUUUGGUGUCUGAUGAGGGCCUGCUACCUGGUUCACAGACAGCCAUAUUCUUGCUUUGUCCUCAACAUAGCUGAGGGUCCCAGGGAGCUCCCUGGGGUUGCUUUUAUUAGAGCACUCAUCCUAUUUAUGAGGGCAGAGCCCUCCUAAAGCUCUCACUUCUAGUACCAUCAUGAUGGUGAUUAAAUUUUAAUUUAAGAACUUUGGGGGAACAAAAACAUUCAGUCUAUAGCAUAGAUAAGAUCAAAGAUAGUGUCCCUUUUCUAUAAGGUAACCAUUUAUACAAGAAGACUUUGAUUUCCUCUACUAUUUUUGGAUCUUUAUUAAACUCUGGAAUAAUUAUACUUGGAAGAGCAAAUGUAAGACUACAGGGCUUUCUUAUACAGUUAUGCAUAUAAGAUUUGCAUAUGCAAUUCAGAGCUUUCUUAUAUGGUUGUGGAAAUUGUGUACUGGACAACUAUAGGGAGAGUGGUUAACAUGGUAUACCAUAUGAAUCUUGCUCCCUAGGGUUGAGCAUUGCAUAUCCUGUGUGAAUUCAUGUGGUUGGCCUGCAUAAAUCUCAUAGCUAAGUCUACACAGCCUCAUCUCUGAUCCUUUUUUCUGAUAAGCCAGCAUCACAGCACAAGACUUCUGCUGGGAAAAGAGGGAAUGGAUGAGUUUGCAAUCAAUUUUGAGAUUAAAGUUUUAAGUUGUACAUUUAGUAAUGAAAAAUGACUAGAAAUGAUAAAAUCUACCUAAGAUAUUGCAAAGAAAUUGGGAAGGAUGAUUUGUCAGAAUGUGGCUGAAGGUGUUAAUGGCAAAAAAAGAAAAUAUAUUUGUGUUUUUACCACAUCAUAUUGAGAAUCCUCAAUAAUAUGGUUAUAUAAAAUUGAGAGAAAAACAUGUCUUUUGACUCAGAGAAAUCUUCAUUCUUCCUAAGACAGACAGACAUACGAUAAUGAAUUAAGUACUACUGGAGAGGAGGGUUCCAGUAGGUGCAAGGAGAGGGUAGGGAUUAGUCCUGAGUGGGCAGCAGAGGAGACUUCUUUGAAAAGCUGACAUUUUAUUUUUUAUUUUUUCAAAAAAAUUUUUUUAAAUUUUAGAUUCAGAUGGUACAUGUGCAGGUUUGUUACAUAAAUAUAUUGUAUCAUGCUGGGAUUUGGGCUUCUAUGGAACCCACCAACCAAAUAGUAAACACAGUACACAAUAAAUAGCUUUUCAACCGUUUCUAUUCUCCCUUAUUCUCCCCUUUUGGGGUCCCCAGUGUCUAUUGUUUCCAUCUUUAUGUCUGUAUGUACCUAUUGUUUAGUUUCCACUUAUACGUCAGAAGAUGUGGUAUUUGAUUUUCUGCUUUUGUGUUAGUUCAUUUAGGAUAACUACAGCUGCAUCCAUAUUGCUGUAAAGUACAUGAUUUCAUUCUUUUUAUGGCUGAAUAGUAUUCCAUGGUGUACAUGUACAAAAUUUACUUAAUCUAAUCCAUCAUUGAUGGGCAUCUAGGUUGAUUCCAUAUCUUUCUUGUUGUGAAUAGUACUGUGCUGCAGUGAACAACAUAUGAGUGCAUGUGUCUUUUUGGCAGAAUGAUUUAUUUUCUGUAGGAUAUAUACCCAAUAAUAUGAUUGCUGGGUUGAAUGAUAGUUUUAUUUAUAGUUCUUUGAGAAAUUUCCAAAGUGGCUGAACUAAUUUACAUACCCACCAACAGUGUAUAAGCAUUCCCUUUACUUUGCAUCCUCACCAACAGCUUUUAUUUUUGACUUUUUAAUAAUAGCUAUUCGGACUGGUGCGAGAUGGUAUUCCACUGUGGUUUUGAUUUGGAUUUCCCUAAUGAUUAGUGAUGCUGAGCAUUUUUUCAUAUGUUUAUUGGCUAAAAAGCUGAUAUUUCAUUUCAUUUUUUUAAAGGUUUAUGUUAGGUUCGGGGGUACAUGUGAAGGUUUGUUACAUAGGUGAACUUGUGUCACAGGGGUUUGUUGUACAGCUGAUUUCAUCACCCACGCAAAAAGCCCAGUACCCAAUAGUUAUUAUUUGUGCUUCUCUUCUUCCUCCCACCCUCCACCCUCAAGUAGACCCCAGUGUCUUUCAUUCCCCAAAAGCUAACAUUUUAAACCAGGCAAAAAUAUAAUAAUUUUAAUAUGAAGUGGCAUGUGAUUUCUGUUAAUGAUAAAAAAGAUAACAUUUGAAAAGGAGUCUUUUUGAUAACCCAUGUAUUAAGGACUAAAUGUUUGUACCUUCUCCCACCCCCAGAAUCAUAUGUGAAACCCUAACAACCAAUGUGAAUGUAUUUGGAGAUAGGGUCAUAAGCAGAUGGUAGAGUUUAAAUGAGGUCAUAAGGGUGGGGCCCUAAUCUGAUAGAGCUGUUGCACUUUUUAGAAGAGGAAGAGAUACUGGAACAUGUCUCUGUCUGUGUGCAUUCAGAAAGAAGGCCAUGUGAUACAGUUUGGAUGUUGCCUCCAACCAAAUGUCAUGUCAAAAUGUAAUCUUCAAUAUUGGAGGUGAGGCAUGGUGGGAGGAGAUUGGGUCAUGGAGGCAGGUUUCUCAUGAAUGGUUUAGCACCAUCCCCCUUGGUACUGUCUUCACAAUAGUGAGUUCUCAUGAUAUUUGGUCAUUUAAAAGUGUGUAGCACUUCCCCCUUCACGUUCUCUUGCUCCUGCUCUGGCCAUGUGACAUGCCUAUUCCCUCUUCACCUUCUGGCAUGACUGUAAGUUUCCUGUGGCCUCCCUGGAAGCAGAGCAGAUUCCAUCAUCAUGCUUCCUGUACAGUCUGCAGAACCAUGAGCCAAUUAAGCCUCUUUUCUUUAUAAAUUACCCAGUCUGAGGUACUUCUUUAUAGCACUGCAAGAAUGGACUAAUAUACUAUGUGAAGACAAAGGGGAUGUCUGCAAGCCAGGACGAGUGCGUCUACCAGAAACUGAGUUCUGCUGGACUUUGAUCUAGGACAUCCAGCCUCAAGAAUGAGAUGGGGUUGCACUAUGCUGCCUGAGCUGGUCUGGAACUCCCGGGCUGUAAUGAUCCUCUGGCCUCCUCAGCCUCCCAAAAUAUUGGGAUUACAGUGCAAAGGCCACAUAAGGACAGUGAGAAGGCAGCCACCUGCAAGCCAGGAAGAAAGGUCUCACCAGAUACCAACCCUGCCAGCAUGUUGAUCUUGGACUUCCAGCCUCCAAAACU